This 134-nucleotide non-coding RNA is filed under the name uncultured Mailhella sp. RNAcentral describes it as "FMN riboswitch (RFN element)". It matches the Rfam family "FMN riboswitch aptamer (RFN element)". From Rfam's summary of the family: The RFN element is a highly conserved domain that is found frequently in the 5'-untranslated regions of prokaryotic mRNAs that encode for flavin mononucleotide (FMN) biosynthesis and transport proteins. This element is a metabolite-dependent riboswitch that directly binds FMN in the absence of proteins. Lineage: Bacteria; Pseudomonadati; Thermodesulfobacteriota; Desulfovibrionia; Desulfovibrionales; Desulfovibrionaceae. The record is from RNAcentral.
UCUCAGGGCGGGGUGCAAGUCCCCACCGGCGGUGAACCCCGGUUCGGGGCAGCCCGCGGGCGCGUUUUCAAGGGAAAAGCGCAGAUCCGGUGCAAGUCCGGGGCCGACGGUAACAGUCCGGAAGAAAGAGAACG